ACAGAGGGUGCGAACGUUGCUCGGAAUUACUGGGCGUAAAGCGCGUGUAGGCGGUGUGGCACGUCCGAUGUGAAAGCCCGGGGCUCAACCCCGGACGUGCAUUGGAUACGACCGUGCUGGAGUCCUGAAGAGGAGGGCGGAAUUCCCGGUGUAGAGGUGAAAUUCGUAGAUAUCGGGAGGGACACCAGUGGCGAAGGCGGCUCUCUGGACAGGUACUGACGCUGAGACGCGAAAGCGUGGGUAGCAAACAGGA
This 253-nucleotide ribosomal RNA is filed under the name uncultured prokaryote. RNAcentral's name for it is "partial 16S ribosomal RNA". It matches the Rfam family "Bacterial small subunit ribosomal RNA", at positions 525 to 777 of the family's 1533-position model. The record is from RNAcentral.